RNAcentral lists this long non-coding RNA (700 nucleotides) under Marmota monax (woodchuck). Lineage: Eukaryota; Metazoa; Chordata; Mammalia; Rodentia; Sciuridae. The record is from RNAcentral.
GGUGCUUUGACAAAGUGUAGCGAGACCCGGUAAUUUGGUCUGAAAAUGUGUUUCAGUGGAACGCAGAGCCCGGUGAGGCUGUGACGUGGGGUGCCACUCAUUAGAGCUGCCAGCGUAGUCCUCUGGCUGCUGUGAGCACAUGGCGCGUCCUAGGAGCCGGGCACAGGGAAAGUUGUGGAAUAAAAAGACAGCAUUGCUGGAGAGUUGGUGUUGUCCACAAGGAGGAUUAGUGGAACACCUUUAUAAUGCUGGUGUUGACAGACAAGACUAGCGUCUGUUUUAUAGGCUAUCGCCUGAGUUCCAUCAGACUUCUCCUGGGUAGCGAUAGGUUUCGGCUGACACGAUUUGACCUGUGAUUUAUCCAAAUCAGUGUAAUAAUAAGCUAGGUUGUAAGGGCAUUGACUUGGCCAUGUAUGCUCAACUACAGUAAACCUGUUAUAAAACCAAGCAAAUGAGGGCUUCUGUUUCUCUUGCUGGUGCACGGUGAGGGUAGGAGAGUAAUGAACUUGUCCCUCUCCAAGGCAUAACCAUCCAGAAGGUUUGUAAAAGGUCUUUAUUCCUUGUGGGGAAAUGAUUUGAGUCUUAGGAAGGAAACACAUGGCUUUCUUCUUACAGCUUCAGACUCCAUCUUGCCAGCUGCAUUUAUUUCCCUUGGCAUGGCACUAAUGAAAGGAGACUUUGAUGAGCUGUGUGUAUGGUC